Long non-coding RNA from Neofelis nebulosa (Clouded leopard), 1873 nucleotides. RefSeq lists it as uncharacterized. NCBI's taxonomy places the organism in Eukaryota, Metazoa, Chordata, Mammalia, Carnivora, Felidae. The record is from RefSeq and is a predicted model, not a curated record. The transcript is spliced from 3 exons.
AUGUGGCAGAUACUGAUGGGAGAGAGGAGCUGCCUUAGUCAAACUCUUUUGAGAAAUGUCAAAUGACAACAAAAGGCAAGACUACUUUUUCUUUGCGUGACAAUUCUUCCAACAGUGAAAUGUUGAAUAGCAGGUUAUGACCAGUCUUGGGAGCAGAGGUGGAGCUGAAGUGGAAAUCAGCUGAUCAGAUGUGAGGGUCCCAGGAGGCCUGUCCAGGACAGGAACUAAGCAUAUUUGGCCAGAAACAACACAGUGACUCCCAGUGUGAAGCACGGAGCUACAGCAGCCAUCUUAGGACCGUGUGGGGAGCUGGCCUAGAAGGACAAACCAGUACUCUGAAGGUAAGGUGGCAAGAACCUGAGCCCUUAGUGACUCAAUUUUGCUGGUCAAUUAACUAACUGGAAUCAUCUGACCUCCAGAAUUCUUGCUAUACGAGAUGAUUCCUUUCACAGCUGUGUACGCCGUUUUGAGUUGGGCUUUCAGUGAUUUGCAUCAGGAGGCUUCUCGAGGGACAGCCCACACUCUCACACUGCGACACACACCUGGGGCAGCGGAUCAAACCCAAACAAGAGGAGCAGGGACUAAAUUCACAACCGGUUGGCCGCUCCCCUGGAUCUUCCAGAAAAACUGUGGUUGGCCUCUCCCCAACUUCCAGAGGACAAGGGUCCAGGGGCAAUGGGAUGUGGUCUGGCACUUAGGAACCGAAGAAGAGUUCCUGCUUUACACCGAGAGUUCAGCUUUUGACGUCAUUCGUGUAGUUACUCAUUACAAGUGUGUAGACACUAGGUAGGAUGUAAGGACAAACAGCGCUGUAGAACAAACAGGGUGCAUCUUCUGGGGCCCCUCCCUUCCACGCUCACCAAUCCCCUUGUUGGUGCCAACCCCACCCCUCUCCACAGGUACGGGUCCCUCUUGCAGACUCUUUGACAGGAGGUAGAAUUCUGUACCAUCUGAGAGUUUGUGUGUGGGCUGGAUCAGGCCCAGCGUGGACCUUGCACACUAAAAAAUCAGAGUGAGCUCUUAAACAGCACCCUUCUGCUUUGGGGUGAACUCUAUUCCCUAGCCUAUUCCACACCCACUCGGAACCUAAAGAAGGGCUGGAGUCAGACUGUCCUACAGAGAUCCAUUGAUUCAUUCAAAGAGGAGCUCACCAUGCCCUAUUUAAACCUCUGUGGUUUUUUAAAAGUUUUUAUUUAAAUACCAGUUAGUCAACCUACAGUGUAAUAUUAGUUUCAGACCUACAAUAUGGUGAUUCAACACUUCUAUACAUUACUCAGUGCUCGUCACAACAAGUGCACUCCUUAAUCCCGCCACCUAUUUCACCCAUCCCCCCAUCCACUUCCCUUCUGGUAACCAUCAGUUUAUAGUUAAGAGUUUGUUUCUCUACAGUUAGGAGUUUGUUUCUUGGUUUGCCUCUCUCUCUGUCCCUCUUUCUCUUUUUUUCCCCCUUAUUCGUUUUAAACCUCUGUGAUGUUGCACAUUCUAUUUACUCUCCUUGCUCACCUGCCGAGCUCAUACUCACUCUUCAAGGCCAGCUGAAAUAUCAUCUCCUCCAUGAAGCCACCAUAAUUCCCAGUCUCUCUUCACACCAUUAUCCCUCCUUGACAAAAGAGAUCACCUCUUUCUCCACACUCCCCGCAUGGUUUGGACACAUCUUUGUUCACUUGGUAUUGAAAAUCAUUUGCUUGUGUGUGUGUAUUUCUCUCUCACACAUUGCUACUCUAAUAUGAGUAUACAUAUGACUGAGAAAACCGUAAUUUCGAAAAGAUUAAAAUAAGCCCUUUAUGAGGAUAUAUAACAAACUCCUACAAUCAACAAUAAAAAUAACAAAUACCCAAUUAAAAAUGUGCAAAGGACCUAAAUCAACAUUUCU